AGCACGGUUGGAAUGGGGCUAAGAUUCCACUGGAGUGGCCCAGGUUCGAAACGCGUGGGUGUCGAUUAAAUGUGGAAACUGGAUGCCCUCUGCCUGGUUUGUCCGGUGAAGUCGUCAUCUGGUCUACCGGUACUUAGGUGGUGCUGGUAUGAUGUAUUCACAUAUGCAAGGGGCUGCCAUGGUGUGGCUUUCCUGCGAGUGGGGAGGAUAUGGGUAAAACUUGUCUAUCCGUAUCGAAUAUUCUCCAGCAGGAAGAGGGCUCAGUGGGAGUUGCUCGCUUGUUCGUAUCAUAGGGUUAGCCAGAUGAAAAACACCUAAUCUUGCUGUAAUUCCUUUAAUAACUUAUGUUUGCCGUAUGUACUAACAUUACAGGCGACAUCUAUGGACUUAUCAGACUCAUGCAAAUCGAUUGUCCGAGGAGGGUUUUCAAGAAUUUUUGAUUUGAUUUUCCAGUGAGAUAUAUAUGCUUUGAGUCGGAUGAGAAAUAUGAAUGUAAUUUGGAAGGG
Molecule: long non-coding RNA, 506 nt
Filed under: Phoenix dactylifera (date palm)
Lineage: Eukaryota; Viridiplantae; Streptophyta; Magnoliopsida; Arecales; Arecaceae
Description: long non-coding RNA (PDAC_LNC014563)
Source: RNAcentral